RNAcentral lists this ribosomal RNA (639 nucleotides) under Triticum aestivum (bread wheat). RNAcentral's name for it is "partial small subunit ribosomal RNA". Lineage: Eukaryota; Viridiplantae; Streptophyta; Magnoliopsida; Poales; Poaceae. The record is from RNAcentral.
AUGGGCGCCGGCCAGCGUAUGGCGUCUCCGCCUGCGGCGGUGGCCGUGCCUCUCCUGCUUCUGUUCGUCGUGCCCUUCUGGAGCCGUGUGGCGUCGGCGGACGGCGGCGCUCCGGCCUGGACGACGGCGCUGCAGAAGCACGUGGCGUUCUUCGACGCCGACAGCGACGGCAUCGUCUCCUUCUCCGAGACAGAGCGAGGGCUUCGCGCCAUCGGUCUCGGAGCUGCCGAGGCCACCGUCAAGGCAACCUUGAUCAACGGAGUCAUCGGACCCAAGACCAGACCUGAAAAUGCUACGACGUCAAAGUUCUCAAUCUACAUAGAGAACAUCCAUCAAGGGAUCCACGGAAGUGACAGCGGCUCGUACGAUGCUCAAGGAAGGUUUGUCCCUGCCAAGUUCAACGAGAUAUUCACCAAGCAUGCCAAGGUCGAACCGAACGCUGUGAACGAGAGCGAGCUGGAGGCGAUGCGCAUCGCGAACAGGGAGGACGGCGACGACAUAGGAAGGGCGGCGUCGAAGGCGGAGUGGGACUUGCUGCACAGCCUCGCCAAGGACAAGGACGGCUUCCUUCAGAAGGACAACGCGCGCACCGUCUUCGACGACAGCCUCUUCGUUCAGCUGGCAAAAAAGGGCGAGUAG